RNAcentral lists this ribosomal RNA (406 nucleotides) under Flavobacterium ginsengisoli. RNAcentral's name for it is "bacterial SSU rRNA". It matches the Rfam family "Bacterial small subunit ribosomal RNA", at positions 385 to 789 of the family's 1533-position model. The record is from RNAcentral. Lineage: Bacteria; Pseudomonadati; Bacteroidota; Flavobacteriia; Flavobacteriales; Flavobacteriaceae.
GACCAGCCAUGCCGCGUGCAGGAUGACGGUCCUAUGGAUUGUAAACUGCUUUUGUACGGGAAGAAACACUCCUUCGUGAAGGAGCUUGACGGUACCGUAAGAAUAAGGAUCGGCUAACUCCGUGCCAGCAGCCGCGGUAAUACGGAGGAUCCAAGCGUUAUCCGGAAUCAUUGGGUUUAAAGGGUCCGUAGGCGGUCUUGUAAGUCAGUGGUGAAAGCCCAUCGCUCAACGGUGGAACGGCCAUUGAUACUGCAGGACUUGAAUUAUUGGGAAGUAACUAGAAUAUGUAGUGUAGCGGUGAAAUGCUUAGAGAUUACAUGGAAUACCAAUUGCGAAGGCAGGUUACUACCAAUUUAUUGACGCUGAUGGACGAAAGCGUGGGUAGCGAACAGGAUUAGAUACCCUG